Molecule: ribosomal RNA, 1260 nt
Filed under: Bacillus sp. DM12
Lineage: Bacteria; Bacillati; Bacillota; Bacilli; Caryophanales; Bacillaceae
Description: bacterial SSU rRNA
Rfam family: Bacterial small subunit ribosomal RNA
Source: RNAcentral
AGGUGGCUUCGGCUACCACUUACAGAUGGACCCGCGGCGCAUUAGCUAGUUGGUGAGGUAAUGGCUCACCAAGGCAACGAUGCGUAGCCGACCUGAGAGGGUGAUCGGCCACACUGGGACUGAGACACGGCCCAGACUCCUACGGGAGGCAGCAGUAGGGAAUCUUCCGCAAUGGACGAAAGUCUGACGGAGCAACGCCGCGUGAGUGAUGAAGGUUUUCGGAUCGUAAAGCUCUGUUGUUAGGGAAGAACAAGUACCGUUCGAAUAGGGCGGUACCUUGACGGUACCUAACCAGAAAGCCACGGCUAACUACGUGCCAGCAGCCGCGGUAAUACGUAGGUGGCAAGCGUUGUCCGGAAUUAUUGGGCGUAAAGGGCUCGCAGGCGGUUUCUUAAGUCUGAUGUGAAAGCCCCCGGCUCAACCGGGGAGGGUCAUUGGAAACUGGGGAACUUGAGUGCAGAAGAGGAGAGUGGAAUUCCACGUGUAGCGGUGAAAUGCGUAGAGAUGUGGAGGAACACCAGUGGCGAAGGCGACUCUCUGGUCUGUAACUGACGCUGAGGAGCGAAAGCGUGGGGAGCGAACAGGAUUAGAUACCCUGGUAGUCCACGCCGUAAACGAUGAGUGCUAAGUGUUAAGGGGUUUCCGCCCCUUAGUGCUGCAGCUAACGCAUUAAGCACUCCGCCUGGGGAGUACGGUCGCAAGACUGAAACUCAAAGGAAUUGACGGGGGCCCGCACAAGCGGUGGGAGCAUGUGGUUUAAUUCGAAGCAACGCGAAGAACCUUACCAGGUCUUGACAUCCUCUGACAAUCCUAGAGAUAGGACGUCCCCUUCGGGGGCAGAGUGACAGGUGGUGCAUGGUUGUCGUCAGCUCGUGUCGUGAGAUGUUGGGUUAAGUCCCGCAACGAGCGCAACCCUUGAUCUUAGUUGCCAGCAUUCAGUUGGGCACUCUAAGGUGACUGCCGGUGACAAACCGGAGGAAGGUGGGGAUGACGUCAAAUCAUCAUGCCCCUUAUGACCUGGGCUACACACGUGCUACAAUGGACAGAACAAAGGGCAGCGAAACCGCGAGGUUAAGCCAAUCCCACAAAUUUGUUCUCAGUUCGGAUCGCAGUCUGCAACUCGACUGCGUGAAGCUGGAAUCGCUAGUAAUCGCGGAUCAGCAUGCCGCGGUGAAUACGUUCCCGGGCCUUGUACACACCGCCCGUCACACCACGAGAGUUUGUAACACCCGAAGUCGGUGAGGUAACCUUUUUAGGAAC